AUGGCCCAAGGUAAGGGAUGAGUCUCAGCUCAGGGCUGUCAAUCAUGUUCUCCUCCCCCUCCACCCCACAACUUUGUUCCUAGCCCUCGCUUCCACAGACAAACCAUCUUCGCAAGAGACCUUACUGAGGCAGUGAGAUUGUUGACUCUGCUUCUGGCUUGGCAUGCCAAGACUUUGCAAGAAUCUACCAGCAGAAAGAAACGAAGAGCCUUGGGAAGGUGACGGGACCGUGGAGCCUCCUGGAUUUGUUCUCACUAUGUGUUUCAAGAUACCGAGCCACUGAUGAGUGUGAGACCCAGGAACUAAAACCUUUCCUGCUGUGGUGCAGCUGCCCCUGGUGGAAUUACCCCAUGGUCAAUGUGAUGUGAAGAGGCUGACUCAAACCACACGUCAAGAGAUGGAUGACCUGUGCUUGAUGCUGAUGGAUGGGAUUCAGAUGCCUAAUUCAGUGCGUUGGGGAAGGCAGAGAACAUACGAGACCUGUGAU
Molecule: long non-coding RNA, 487 nt
Filed under: Anser brachyrhynchus (Pink-footed goose)
Lineage: Eukaryota; Metazoa; Chordata; Aves; Anseriformes; Anatidae
Description: lncRNA (ENSABRG00000013431.1)
Source: RNAcentral